GACGAACGCUGGCGGCGUGCCUAAUACAUGCAAGUUGAGCGCUGAAGGUUGGUACUUGUACCAACUGGAUGAGCAGCGAACGGGUGAGUAACGCGUGGGGAAUCUGCCUUUGAGCGGGGGACAACAUUUGGAAACGAAUGCUAAUACCGCAUAAAAACUUUAAACACAAGUUUUAAGUUUGAAAGAUGCAAUUGCAUCACUCAAAGAUGAUCCCGCGUUGUAUUAGCUAGUUGGUGAGGUAAAGGCUCACCAAGGCGAUGAUACAUAGCCGACCUGAGAGGGUGAUCGGCCACAUUGGGACUGAGACACGGCCCAAACUCCUACGGGAGGCAGCAGUAGGGAAUCUUCGGCAAUGGACGAAAGGCUGACCGAGCAACGCCGCGUGAGUGAAGAAGGUUUUCGGAUCGUAAAACUCUGUUGGUAGAGAAGAACGUUGGUGAGAGUGGAAAGCUCAUCAAGUGACGGUAACUACCCAGAAAGGGACGGCUAACUACGUA
Molecule: ribosomal RNA, 497 nt
Filed under: uncultured bacterium
Lineage: Bacteria
Description: partial 16S ribosomal RNA
Rfam family: Bacterial small subunit ribosomal RNA
Source: RNAcentral